CUGCUGAUAUGUAUGGUAGGCUUGACUACUGUUUAGAAGAUUUGUUGGCAGUGGUUGACAGUGAUUUACUUGGAGAUGUUGCAGAACAAAAGGAAGUUGAAAAACUUGCCUCCAAAAUGAAAGAGACAAAGAAGAGAAUGUCGUUUGAGACUCUUAAGCUGAUUGCUCAAAGUAUUACAUUCAAGACCGAUUUACUGAAGAAGAUAAUCUCACCUGUUUCUUUACAUCUUCAGAAGCAACUUACUCCAAAGUUGAAAACCAGACUUGAGAUGAUGCUACACAACAUAGCCUUAGGGAUUGAGUGCAACUCAUCUACUGAAACAUCAAACUUGUUUAUCUUCGUAUAUUGUCUUAUUGAGGAUACUAUUACAGGAAGCAGAUCUGAAUGCAAAGAGAAUACACAAUCUAGUCCUGAUCAAGACAGUACUGUAAGAAAGACCUUCCUGGGACUAGGUGAGAGUGGAUCACAGAAUUCUUAUAUACUUACCAAGUUUGCACUUGACUUACUUCGUAAUCGUCUGAAGAGCAUCAAGCUUGACAAGGAAGAUGAACAACUCGUGAAGAUGUUGGAUCCUUUUGUUGACCUUCUGCGAAAGUGUAUGAGUUCGAAACAUGCAAGUGUCCUCUCAGCCACAUUUAGAUGUUUUGCCUUGUUGGUGAAACUUCCGUUGCCAUCUCUGAGGGACAAUGCAAUUACUAUAAAAAAUGUACUUAUGGAGAUUUUACAGAGAGCUGGAAACUCCAAUGGUCAUUUAGUCACAUCUUGUUUUAAGCUACUUGCUGAUCUACUUAGAGGAUUCAGGAUUUCACUUUCAGAUAAUGAGCUUCAGAUGCUUGUUCAUACCCCUAUGUUUGUAGAUCUUCAGACAAACCCUUCCCCUGUUGCCUUAUCGCUUCUCAAAACAAUAGUCAGGCUAAAAUUGGUUUCUCACGAAAUUUAUGAUAUAGUUGUUAAGAUAGGAGAGUUGAUGGUAACAACAUUAACUGAAUCUAUACAGCAGCAAUGCAUUCAAAUUAUGCUACAAUUUUUUCUGAACUAUCCACUUUCUGAGAAGCGCUUACAGCAACAUAUUGACUUUUUCCUGGCAAACUUAAGGUAUGAUGAAUAUCCAUAGUUACUUUAUCAUGAUAUCUCACUGUAUGCUAACACUCUGGAAAAUUGCAGUUAUGAACAUCCUUCAGGAAGAGAAGCAGUGCUUGAAAUGCUCCAUGACAUUCUUACCAGAUUUCCCCAGAGGAUUAUUGAUGAGCAGGGUCAAACCUUUUUUCUUCAUCUUGUAGUUGCUCUAGCCAAUGAACAGCAUCAGAAUGUGUCUUCAAUGAUCCUUAGAGCUAUUCAAAAGCUGUUAGGACGCAUUGGUGGUCAGGGAAAGAGUUACAUUUAUGAGUAUUCACUUUCGUGGUACACUGGUGAGAAGAAAAGUUUGUGGAGUGCUUCAGCUCAGGUUACCAUUUAGUAGCUUUGCUAUAUUUUUGCAUAUACUAAAAAAAGAUAUAUUGUACAUCAGCAGUGGACUGGGUUGGUGGUUGCAAUUUGCUUUUGCAUUUGGGUGUUAUUGAAGUACUUACUACUUAGCCCCUUUAUGCUUAUGUUUCAAAGUACUAUUGUCCUUUUACAUCAACUGUUGAAGUGGUUCUUGUGCUUUAUAGGUUAUUGGUUUACUUGUUGGCGAUCACACAUUACAAAUGGGCAAGCACCUUAAAAGUAUUCUGGCUGUUGUUAAGAAAAUAAUGGAAUCAUCUAUUAUUGCUUCUGGAGCUAUACAAUUAGGCUUAUCUGAUGAAGCUGCCCUGCCAUUGUGGAAAGAGACUUACUACUCUGUUGCCAUGAUGGAGAGGUUACUUCUUCGCUUUCCGGAGUUGUAUUUUGAGAAAAACAUGGAGGUAUGAUUACCUUCGUGCACUACUACUAUAUCAAAUUGCAGAUGUAUGUAUUUUGUUUUUUUAUCUAGAUCUUGCCAUGUGAGGGGCAGGCCUGGUGCAGUGGUGAGGGCUGUCUCACUGAGUCGCCAGGUCGUGGGUUUGAAGCAGUCUCCAUACAUUUGCUAGGGCAAGGCUUGUCUUGGUUUAUCCCUUUCUCAAACCCCACUUGCCAUGUCUGCCGUUUAUCUCGAUCUUGCCAUGUGAGAGCCUUUGACACAGAGUCUGUCCCCUAGAUCUUGCCAUGUCUUUUAUGUUGCUUUAUCUCAUGCCUCAGUUGCUUAAACGUAAGGCAAUAGUCAACCGUCACGCCUCGCUUUACUGCUUUGAUAAUGUUGUCAAACAAUCAUAUUCUUUAUCUCCAGCAUUUUUUUUGCUGCCAUGUCUUUUUACCAAUUUAAUGAGAUUUAUACUAGUUGACUCAAGUAUUCAAGGCACUUGUUGACCAUUUACUUAAGUAUUGGGGCCUCAGAUUUAUUUGUUCUUAAACAUAGUAUUUGUUUCAAGCCUUGAACUGGUCAUGUCGGUUGCAACAUCAAGUUUAUGACACCAAUUGUAAUUUGCAGGACAUAUGGAUAAUAUUAUGCAAGUUGUUGAUCCAUCCUCAUUCGAUGUUGCGUAGUAUUUCAAGCUCUCUGGUAGCAUCAUAUUUUGCUACAGUGGAGAAGAGGAAACAUGAACAGAAAUUGGAUGCCCCAUCAUGGUUGCUUGUUCAACCGAGCAGGCUAUUCAUAAUAGCUGUUUCCUUGUUGAAACAAUUGAGGAGUGAGCUGAGUGAUACUACGGCAAAUAAUCUGAUUGUACAGAAUGUUGCAUACUCAGUCUGCAACUUGCAUAUGUUGAUUAGGCAAUCGACCUCCACACAUCAGUUUUGGUCUAGCAUUAGUUCUGAUCGUGGUGCUUUCCUUGAGGGUUUUGAAUUGCUUGGUUCAAGAAAAGCAAAAAUAUAUUUCUCCUUUGUACUUCAACAUCUAGUGAUGUAUCUGGAUCUAGCCUCGACACCAACGAAGAGCCUACAUCUUUGUUAGUUUCGUCAAUCCUAAAGAAGAUGGGAAGAAUUGCAAUGCAAAUGCAGGAUACACAGGUAAGCUCCAUUACAUCAGCCAAGUCAUUCCCUUGUAUGUUUCUCAGGAUGGUGGCUUGCAAUUCAUAUGUAUUACUUAUUUUUCAUCCAUAUGCAGAUAAAGAACGUGUUCAAUUGCUUCAAUAUGAUUUCAUCAGCUCUUGGUCCUGAUGAAUCACUAACCUAUGCUGAUCACCUCUUGGCCCCAUUGUAUAAAGUUUCUGAAGGAUUUGCUGGGAAAGUUGUUAGUGGUAUGUUAAUAUUCCUGUCUUGGUAUUGUUCAUUAUUUGUUUUCAGCAUAUCGGAGGUGUGUAGGCAAGUUCAGUGCUUGGGCUUGCCAUCUGUCUGAGUACCGUUCUUUUGUUGUGGUUUCAGAUGAAGUGAAGCAACUGGCCCAGGGGUCCAGAACAAGUUACGUGACCUGAUUGGUUCCGAGAAAUUUGUUGAAGUCUACAAGAGCGUUCGGAUGGGCCUGAAACAGAAGCGGGACGGUAGAAAGCAGGCACAGAAGAUUGUUGCAGCCGUGGACCCAGAACGCAAUGCCAAGCGAAAGCAGCGAAUGGCAGCCANNNNNNNNNNNNNNNNNNNNNNNNNNNNNNNNNNNNNNNNNNNNNNNNNNNNNNNNNNNNNNNNNNNNNNNNNNNNNNNNNNNNNNNNNNNNNNNNNNNNUUUAGUGAAGAAAGUUCUUCUUCAACAUAUGGAUGUUCUUAUCCAUAGUCUCCAUGAUUUGUUAAUCAUCGCAAAGAGCUCAACAGUACUCACGCCAUCACUAUGUAAUACUACUGUGCAGAAGCAAACUUGACCACUUCAAUAUACUAAAAUACUUCUUUCACUGUACUUGUUCAUGCACCGGGGAAUGUGAUCGUAUAUUUUUAAAAAGGGCAGACCUAGUGCUGGAGGCUCUCAUAUGAGUGGGAUCUGGGAAUGGUAAGCAAGGCAAGCCUCUCCGCAAAUGCGGAGAGGUUGCUUCGAACCCACAGUCUGGUGACUAAGUGAGACAGUUCUCACCCUGCACUAUGCCUGCCCUACUAUUGAAGAAAUCAAAUGCAUAGUUUAUUGUGAGUUUCACUCUACCCCCAAUUAAAUGCCUUGAAGGAAGAAGAUUAUUUGUAGCAUUCUAUUUAAUUGGUUAUGGAUGGUGAUUUCACAGUGAGUUUGCUUUGAACUAUUUGCUUGGUUAGUGCACAUUUUUUGGGCUAUGGACAAGCACAGUCUAUCAAAUGAGAGUGAUCUUAAAAAUUACCAAUAUGUGAGUCAUUUAAUUUAUUGUCCAUGAUAUAAAAUGUAUUUGUGGAUCUAAAACUGUUAAAAAGAAUCACACCGUGGAUAUUAGCCUUUUAUAAUGUUUUGUUCAUCUAUUAUGGUGGUUAAACAUCUCUUAUGAGAGACUCAGGACUUCAGUGACAUUUUUUAGAUGUAUCUGUUUUAUCAAGCAAGCGUAUAAAUUUUCUUAGACUCUUCAUUGCUUGGGCCGAUCCUCUCUUUAAAAUUUUUGUUCCACAUUGCGUCACAUUAAUCUCUUCGGACAUGUUUACAGCAUAUUUGGGAGCAUAUGCAUGAGACUUAAUAAGCUUGAAUGAAUUUCCUGCAUUCUUAAUAUAUACAGGAGAUCUGGUACAUGGCUUGGGCAACGUGAACUUAGGCUGUUCAAAUUAUUGCUAAAUUACAUCACAGAUCCCUCAGCUGCUGAUAACUUCAUAGACCUUAUUCUUCCAUUUUUCAGCAAGAAAGAUUUGAACUCCGGUAAGCCUUUUAUUGAUUAGCCUGCAUAUCAAAUUAUUGUUCUUUUUUUUUCUUUGCAAAUGCCCAACCUUGACAUGGUAUGGCCUUUUUGUCUCAUCUUUUAUAUCACAGACGAUUGUUUGGAAGCACUAUGUGUUGUGAGGGGAAUAAUUCAAAAUCUGAGAUGCAAAGUAUCUGAAAAAGUUCUAAAUGCACUGACCCAUUACUUGCAAUUGUUGGAUUGGAACUGCGACUAUGUAUCUGUGAUAUUUAUGCUGGGUUGUCAUUGAAUGAUCCUUCGAUGUUGUUUCUGGUAAUUAUCACUCUAUUGUGAUGUCAAUUAUGUAAACUUCGCCAUGUUGCCUGUUCCUGUUUCACAGUUUCUUGUGGCAAUUUGCAUUUUUAACAGGCUGGGUUAAUAGGAGAUCUGAAUGCAGUUUCAGCUUCAGAACUUGGUGAACUAGAUUAUGACACAAGACUUAACACCUAUGAUAAGGUUAGGCCACAAUUGUUUCUUGGCUUGACAGAAGAGCAUGUGGGCGCCAUAUUAUCUCAUUGUGUGUAUGAUAUGUCAUCUGAAGAAUUAAUUUUGCGGCAAAGUGCAUCUAGGGCUCUGCAGUCGUUCCUGGACUUUUCCGCCUCAGUUAUGAAUAAUGAUGUGUCCAAAUACUCUAUUGAUGAUAAAUUUAGAGAGAAUAAUACCAGAAGCAUUUGCACGAUGGGCUGUAUUCAGAAGAUAUUGGAAAAAACUUAUCUGCACAAUAUGGGAGUAGCAAUGACUAAAGAUGUAUCAAUUCAAAAGGUGCGCAUAUAUAUAUUUUUAUUUUGUAGUCUAUCAAACUGUUGGUUGAAGGGCUGCAAUUGAUGUUGUAUUCAGGAAUGGAUUAUUUUACUUAGGGAGAUGGUCUCCAAUUUUAAUCAUUUAGCAUCCUUAAGCUCAUUUAGGCCUCUCUGUAAGGUGGAUAUAGAAGAGGAUUUUUUCCACAACAUAACUCAUUUACAGGUAAUGUGCUUGGUUCACUUAUACCAAAGGUCAGAUGAUGGACUGUAAAGCUCAUUUAUAUUUACUAAUGCAGGCUGGUAAAAGAUCAAAAGCACUGUUGCUUUUUAGACAGGGAAUCAAGGAAAACAACUUUUCAGAGGUAAAUGAUGAGAGAAUACUCUAGUUGAUGUCAGUAUGAUAUGUGCAUAUUUGGAAAUUAAUUUGCUGACAGUUGAUCAUUUGUUUCAUCUGUUGAAUUGAAAAGAUAAUACUUGUUUUGUGGACCCGUAUGCUAGUACCAGGUUUUUUUCUUUAAAAAAUAGAUACUUUGUCUCUUUGCUUUGUCAAGCUAGUAUGGCUUCGCAAAUGUUUAUAUAAUAUUGCUGAAGGGAUGUGAGCCUAUUUUCCCUUUACCUUAAAGGUCCUAGGAGAUUGGUGUCACAUGCCAGCUUUUCUUUGAAACUGUGCAACAGUGUACUGAUCUUGCAUCACAGGCAACAGAAAUUUGUCUUCUAAGGGCAGUACAAUUCUGUCUUGCAAUACUGUGUUAACAAAGGAAAUCUUAAUAGUUGAUGACUACGGGUGUGUUUGGUUGGAUGUACAUGGUGGAUGGGAGGGGGCGGCCACAGUUUCUAUAGUGUUUGGAUGAGAGUCACGUAGGGGCGAGGUAAACACAAGAGUAGUUUUUGGUGGCGACGUGAUCCCAAAAAAUCGAGGGACGGUGUCGCCCUCGUCUCAUCCACUUUGACCUCAAACCAAACACAUACUACAAGAAUGUUAAUGUGUUAUGGCCAUCUAGUUUGUUAGCACUCAGCAGUCAGCACUUAGAAAAAUGAGAUGUUCAAAGAGUACAUUUUUCUGUAAAGAAAAACACUUGCUGCUACAGUGUAUUUGUUUCCACCAUUGUUUCUUGCAUUUGCAGAAAAUCUACCAGCAAAAUUGAUGGCAUUUUCUUUUUGUUUAGAUGCAUUUUUUACUUUACAUAAAAAGCAUUCUGCACAUAAAUCACAGCUCACCAAUCUUCGUUUCAUGCACCUGUUGCAUAACUAAAUAGUAACUUGUGCAGGUAGUGUCCAGUGAACUGAACUCGUUAUAUUCUCCGGUUUAUUUUUUCAUUAACAUCACUUCUUGUGCUUUCAUUUAGGAUAUCACUAUGAAAGUCUUUGUUCCACUAUUUUUCAAUAUGUUUUCUGACGUAAAAGCUGGGAAUUGUUUCUUGCAUUUGCAGAAAAUCUACCAGCAAAAUUGAUGGCAUUUUCUUUUGUUUAGAUGCAUUUUUUACUUUACAUAAAAAGCAUUCUGCACAUAAAUCACAACUCACCAAUCUUCGUUUCAUGCACCUGUUGCAUAACUAAAUAGUAACUUGUGCAGUAGUGUCCAGUGAACUGAACUCGUUAUCUUCUCCGGUUUAUUUUUUCAUUAACAUCACUUCUUGUGCUUUCAUUUAGGAUAUCACUAUGAAAGUCUUUGUUCCACUAUUUUUCAAUAUGUUUUCUGACGAAAAGCUGGGAAAGGCGAACAAGUCAGAGAUAUAUGUUUGGAUACACUAUCUGCUGUUGCUGCCAAAGUGCAGUGGGAACACUAUAGAACAAUAUUGAAGAGAUGCUUCCGAGAAUUAAACCUUAGACCUGAUAAGCAGAAGAUCAUAUUGAGGCUGAUUUGUUCCAUAUUAGAUGCAUUCCAUUUCAUGAAACCUGCAAAUGAUGCCUCAGGAAAUUCUGAUGCUUUGAGUGAAGAUAUUGAUUCUUCCCUUACAUUCUCUUUGGUCACAGUCUCUUCUGAUAAGCAACAGUACAUGCAAAAGGUAGUGUUUCCACAGGUUCAAAAGUUGUUAGGAUCAGAUCCAGAGAAAGUCAACGUCAACAUAAACCUGGUAGCACUGAAAAUACUUAAGUUGCUACCGGUGGAUUAUUUUGAGUCCCAACUUUCAAGCAUCAUUCAUCGAAUCUGUAACUUCCUCAAGAAUCGUCUUGAAAGCAUACGUGAUGAAGCUAGGUCUGCUUUAGCUGCUUCUGUUAAGGAACUGGGGAUUGGGUAUUUGCAGUUUGUGGUCAAGAUAUUAAGAGCUAUACUUAAAAGAGGUUUUGAGUUACAUGUUCUGGGCUACACACUUCAUUAUUUGUUGUCAAAAAACAUUACUGCUGAUAUGUAUGGUAGGCUUGACUACUGUUUAGAAGAUUUGUUGGCAGUGGUUGACAGUGAUUUACUUGGAGAUGUUGCAGAACAAAAGGAAGUUGAAAAACUUGCCUCCAAAAUGAAAGAGACAAGAAGAGAAUGUCGUUUGAGACUCUUAAGCUGAUUGCUCAAAGUAUUACAUUCAAGACCGAUUUACUGAAGAAGAUAAUCUCACCUGUUUCUUUACAUCUUCAGAAGCAACUUACUCCAAAGUUGAAAACCAGACUUGAGAUGAUGCUACACAACAUAGCCUUAGGGAUUGAGUGCAACUCAUCUACUGAAACAUCAAACUUGUUUAU
This 8161-nucleotide long non-coding RNA is filed under the name Zea mays. RNAcentral's name for it is "long non-coding RNA (ZMAY_LNC001420)". Lineage: Eukaryota; Viridiplantae; Streptophyta; Magnoliopsida; Poales; Poaceae. The record is from RNAcentral.